GACGAACGCUGGCGGCGUGCUUAACACAUGCAAGUCGAGCGAGGCUCUCCCUUCGGGGGGAUGUCCUAGCGGCGAACGGGUGAGUAACACGUGGGCAACCUGCCCUCAGCUCUGGGAUAACUCCAAGAAAUUGGGGCUAAUACCGGAUAUGACUGCUGACCGCAUGGUCUGGUGGUGGAAAGAUUUAUCGGCUGGGGAUGGGCCCGCGGCCUAUCAGCUUGUUGGGGGGUAGUGGCCUACCAAGGCGACGACGGGUAGCCGGCCUGAGAGGGUGACCGGCCACACUGGGACUGAGACACGGCCCAGACUCCUACGGGAGGCAGCAGUGGGGAAUAUUGCGCAAUGGGCGGAAGCCUGACGCAGCGACGCCGCGUGGGGAUGACGGCC
Molecule: ribosomal RNA, 387 nt
Filed under: uncultured bacterium
Lineage: Bacteria
Description: bacterial SSU rRNA
Rfam family: Bacterial small subunit ribosomal RNA
Source: RNAcentral